Molecule: ribosomal RNA, 253 nt
Filed under: uncultured bacterium
Lineage: Bacteria
Description: partial 16S ribosomal RNA
Rfam family: Bacterial small subunit ribosomal RNA
Source: RNAcentral
UACGUAGGGGGCAAGCGUUGUCCGGAAUCAUUGGGCGUAAAGCGCGCGUAGGCGGCCCGGUAAGUCCGCUGUGAAAGUCCAGGGCUCAACCCUGGAAAGCCGGUGGAUACUGUCGGGCUAGAGUACGGAAGAGGCGAGUGGAAUUCCUGGUGUAGCGGUGGAAUGCGCAGAUAUCAGGAGGAACACCGAUGGCGAAGGCAGCUCGCUGGGACGGUACUGACGCUGAGGCGCGAAAGCGUGGGGAGCGAACAGG